AAGAACAUAAGGUUUGCGUCGGCACAAGUUAAGUUGAAGAACUGAUGAUUAGUUAGAAGCUGAUACUUGGAAAGUUAAGUUAUUUAUUCUUUAGCUAAAUAUAACUUUUCAAUUUCCUUAUUAUGUUCAUUAUCUUAAUAUCUUUUUCUAAGGUUAGUAGCUCUACCUCAUCUCUAAAUAAUUUCAUGAUAGGGUUAGUAGCUAAUCUUUAAUGUUAUUAAGUUGCAUGGUGGAGUCACUUCAAAAUAUCAUGUUUGGUUUAUUUAAUAUUUUUGUUUGAAUAACUUUGUUUGAUGUUUUAAUUGAAUUUUUGUAAUAUAGUGUAAUGAUUGUUAAUUAGAAAUAGAAAUUUUAUAAACUCUAAUUUGUUAAAAUGUUAUGUGCUUGAAGGUUGGAGCUUGAAGAACAUAAGGUUUGCGUCGACAUAAGUUAAGUUGAAAAACUUAUGAUCAGUUAGA
This 458-nucleotide long non-coding RNA is filed under the name Ricinus communis (castor bean). RNAcentral describes it as "long non-coding RNA (RCOM_LNC003486)". Lineage: Eukaryota; Viridiplantae; Streptophyta; Magnoliopsida; Malpighiales; Euphorbiaceae. The record is from RNAcentral.